Molecule: long non-coding RNA, 4349 nt
Filed under: Sus scrofa (pig)
Lineage: Eukaryota; Metazoa; Chordata; Mammalia; Artiodactyla; Suidae
Description: lncRNA (ENSSSCG00045027850.1)
Source: RNAcentral
UUUUUUUUUUUUUUUUUUUUUUGCUUUUUUGGGCCGUAUGUGCAGCAUAUGGAAGUUCCUGGGAUAGGAGUUGAAUCGGAGCUGCAGCUUCCAGCCUAUGCCACAGCCGCAGCACCUCAGGAUCCAAGCCACAUCUGGGACCUACACCCCACCUCACUGCAAGGCUGGAUCCUUAACCCACUAAGUGAGGCCACGGAGCGAACCUGCAUCCUCACAGAUACUAGUCAGGUUCAUUUCUGCUGAGCCACAAUGGGAACUCCUAGAGACACUUUAUUUGCUAUAAAUUUUUGAUUCAGUAACAUUGAAUUCAUCACCCCUGUAAUUCAUGCCUGAGUGAAGCAUAUAUAUAGCACAUGUGUUUUCUCCAUCAGGCACAUGGCAGACUCUAGGUACAGUAAUGCAUUUCAGCACUACCUUUGGGGGUUGCUUUCAACAGAAAAAUCACUAAGAAAAAAAGGACAAAAAUUUGAAAAGUGUGGCGCUAAACAGACUGUGAAGAGGACACUUGUUUAUGGUGAGAGCUGAAACAAGGAGACUGAACUUUGCUUCCUUAGACCUCAGAUGGGAACAUGCCACCAAAUUUUUCACCACUUUGCCCAUGUCCAUGAAUGGCUGCAAAAGCACUGCAAAUACUGAUUUUGGAGGUACAGAUAUAUUUUAGAGAGUAGGAAAAUUCACAAAUACAUAAUCCAUGGCAAGUGAUGAUCCAAUGUAUUUCCAUUUUAUACUGCCCCAUUUCCAAUUGUACCUGCAGGUUUUUCAUUAAAUUUGUUGACCAGUAGUUUCUUGAAUGUCUUCUCUGCAUAAUGAGAUUGUAAGUACAUUGUGAGCAAGUACCAUAAACUAUUAUUUUCAAAUUUUACCCUACCUAGUACUAUAGUAAUUACACAAUAGAUUGUAGAUAAAAAUUUUUUUGAAUGAAUGGUUAUUGCUGGACCAGAAAUAGAGACCUGGGAAAGAUCAGAACAUUCGAUACACCUCUAAUACACCUAUACUAUAACCUCUGGUUUGUGAUUUGUAAGGAGAAAUGUAGCACUUUUUCACGGCAACACCAGAUCCUUAACCCACUGAGCAAGGCCAGGGAUUGAACCUGUGUCCUCAUGAAUACUAGUCAGAUUCAUUAACCACUGAUCCACAACAGGAACUCCUGUAGUACUUUGAAAUAAGCAACAGAGAUUAAUGAAUAUCCUUUCAAUGGAACUGAUCCUAAAAGAUAUUCACCUUUAUCUUGGAUUAGACUCUUUUAGCAUUUCGUAGAAAAUUAUUUGUGGAGAACUGAUGAUAAUACAAAUGAUUAUUGUCUAUGAAUAUGUGAACGAAUUUUAUCCAAAGGAGGGAGAACUCUCCUCUGUAGAAAAGCCAGUUUGUAUCCACUUGUAAGUUCAGUAUUCCUGUGCUCUAAAAUGUCUGCUUUUUCAGAUUCUCCUUGAACAGAUUGUAAUAUCUCUCUGGUUCUCUUUUUAAUGAGUUAAAUGAAAUUAUUUUGCAUGAUUUUACUUUUUUUUUUUUGAGAAUUAUCCUAAACACUUUUGCAGUUCCCACUGAGUUGCCCCAUGUGUUCAUCCGACAGCCAGGUGAACUUUACCACCAGGGAAGUGUACCGUGGGUUGCUAAAUCCAGAUACUUCUUUUCCUGCUCCCAGAGGUUAAUCUGAAGCACAGUAGAAUUCUUUAGGUCUCUGCUUCUCUGUUUUCCUCACCUACUUUUUCUCCUCCACCAAUUUUUGAGGUUUGAGCUUGGCCAGUAAAUUAUUUCCCUUUCGUGGCAGCAAGGAUCAGGAAUGUAGUUGUGUGGUCUCACCAUUUGGUGGGCCCUGUAAAGGGAUUAAUGAUUUAUGGAUAUCUAUUUCCUUCCUUUCCUUUCCUUUCCUUUCCUUUCCUUUCCUUUUUAGGGCUGCAUUUGUGGCAUAUGGAAGUUCCCAGACUAGGGGUCGAAUUGGAGCUGUAGCUGCUGGCCUACUCCACAGCCACAGCAACAUGGGAUCCGAGCCACAUCUGCGUCCUACACCACAGCUUAUGGCAACGCCAGAUCCUGAACCCACUGAGUGAGGCCAGGGAUUGAACCUGCAUCCUCAUGGAUACUAGUCGGAUUCGUUUCUGCCGCUCCACUAUGGGAACUCCCUAUGGAUAUCUAUUUUCUGUUAAGUGGGAGACAGCAAAGAAUCUGGAUUCUUGACUUACCGCACCACAGCGGAAACUCCUGUGUUUCUUCUUGAUCCAUGGAAGUUGUUCUUCCUGCUGAAAACUAAAGUGGGUAAGACUGCUCCUCUCUUCUAUUGGAGGUGCCAUGGCUGAUGAUGGAGGAGAGAGGAGCAUGGACAGGUGCAGGGACGCGAAGUCCGAGCGUGGCUCUCCUCCAGAGGAGUAAGUCGCUAGUGGAGGCACUUUUCAGAGUGGGAUAGAGGUAUGGAAAACCUCAUUAAGGAAUGAAGGGCUGUACAGCUAGAAAUAGAGAUGAUUAGAGCUAUAGAAAUGUGACAGCAGAUAAUAUUCAGAAGUAUGAAUUUUGAGCAAUAACAAAGCAACUUAGAAUUACCAGAAAUUUGUUUUUCAAAUCCCUCAGCAGGGGCAUGACCAUUUCAGGUGUCUGGUCUGGGAUGUCCAGACUGGAUCAGCUACAAGGCAGAGUCAGGAUUAUGACAAAAGAAAAAUCCAGAACGGACAGAAGCAGAAAUAUUAGCCAUCUGGAGAAGACUAGUUUUGAGAGGACAGGAGGAGUUGGAAAUUAAUACUAUAAUUAACUGGUCAAGGGGUCCAAACUUUCAGUUAUAAGAUGAAUAAAUUCUGAGAUCUGAAGUGCAGCAUAAUGACUAUGGUUAAUAAAAAUAUGUACCUGAAAUUUGCUAAGAUAAGUGUUCUCACCACACAUACAGGCAAUGAUAACUAAGUGGGGAGAGGGAUAGGAUAUGUUAAUUAACUAGUGAUAAUCAUUUCAAAAUCUUUAUAUAUAUCAAAACAUGUACACCUUAAUAUAUAUACACGGGUUUUGUUUGUUUGUUUUGCUUUGGCCCCACCUGUGGAAUGGGGAAGUUCUCAGGCCAGGGAUCAAACCUGACCCACAGCAGUGACAAUGCUGAGUCCUUAACCACUAGGCCACAGGGGAACUCCUAAUACAUACAGUUUUUAUUUGUCAAUCAUACUUCAGUAUUCUGGGAUUGGGGGGAGAAGUUAAUGCCAUAACCAGAGGAUAGCACUUGUGGUUUUUUAAGUUUCAAUUUAAAUAAUCUCUCCAGAUGUACUGUUAUAUCUCUAUACCAGGUGGACUUCAAUGACAUUUGUAGUUAAGAUUCAUUCACUCUUUCAUUUAGUCAUUUAUCACAACACUCAGUUUAAAGAAAUAAAGUAUUAAAAAGUAGCUGAGGGGAGUUCCCGUCAUGGCUCAGUGGAAAGGAAUCUGACUAGUAUCCAUGAGGAUGCAGGUUUGAUCCCUGGCCUCGCUCAGUGGGUUAAGGAUCCGAUGUUGUGGUGAGCUGCGGUGUAGGUCGCAGACGUGGCUUGGGUCCCAAGUUACACUGGCUGUGGUAUAGGCCAGCGGCUUUAACCUGAUUCAACCUCUAGCCUGGGAACGUCCAUACGCCGCCAGUGCAGCUCUAAAAAAAAAAAGUAGCCGAGGAAUUCCCUGGUGGCUUAGUGAUUAAGGAUUCAGCGUUGUCACUGCUGUGGUGCAGGUUCGAUCCCUGGCCUAGGAACUCCUGCAUGCCAGGGGCGCGGCCAAAAACUAACAUAGCUGAAACCUCUUGGCACUUCACCCACAACUCCUUCAUCUCCCCAGAUGUGACUACUCUCCUGAUUUUCCUCCUUUUCAUUUCCACAUAUGCUCUUAUAUAUUUCAGUGGAUGUAAGUGUACCAAACAUUAUGUAAUGUUUCUUGUAACAUAUUUUAAACCUAUGCAUAAGUGGGGUACUCUGUAUCUUCGUGCAACUUGCUUUUUCAUCUUAAUGUUGUAAUUUAAGGGAGUUCCUGUUGCGGCUCAGGGGUAAUGAAUUUGGCUAGUAUCCAUGAGGAUGUGGAUUUGAUCCCCGGCCUUGCUCCAGCAUUGCUGUGCGCUGUGGUGUAGGUCAUCGACGCCACUCAGGUUCCACGUUGCUGUGGCCAUGGUUGUGGCUGGCAGCUGCAGCUCCAAUGUGACCCCUAGCCUGGGAACUUCCAUAUGCCACAGGUGCAGCCAUAAAAGGCAGAAAAAAAAAAAAAAGAAAUUGUAAUUUAAGACUUACCCAUGUGUAUACCUCCAAUACUGGUUCAUUCACUUUUCAGUACUGUACAGCAUUCCAAAUACAAGGCAUAAUUUAUUAAUUCUUUAUUCUGCUGGUAUACAUUUAUAUUGUUUACAAAAACUGUAAACAAUAGUU